CCACCCCACCCCAAUCCCUCCAGCCGCCACUGCCCCACCCAUGUUUCUCCUCCACCCCCUCCUCUCUCUCCUCUCCUCCCUCCUCAUCCGCGCGCGCACAUCACCCAGCGCUCGCGUGCUCGCCUCCCGGACCAGUCACUGCCGCGCCGCUGGGGCUCGUCCGCCGCGGGUUUCCACGGGGAAGGAGCCGCGACGGGGGUAGGCCCCAGGCGGUGCACACUUCAUGGGGAGGCAAGGAACUAGGAGGCGAUGGGGUCGGAUCUGGUGGUGCUAGGUCGGAGCUCGAUCCCCCGCCUCCCGAACCAGCCGUCGCCGCGUCGCUGGGGCUCGUCCGCCGCGGGUUUCCAUGGGGAAUCACCACAACAGCAGCACGCCUCCCUCCUUCCUCCUCAUCGCCAGAGCCGCCGCACCUCUCCUUCCUCCUCGCUCUCACCCUUGCCGCGGCGCGCAUCCCUCCCCUUUCGAUCUAAUUUCAUUCUUGUUUCACAUGUUGGUUUGGUUGGCAAGAGACGUUGCAGCGCCGACUGCAGUAGCCAGGGUUGGCGUUGGUGAUGUCUGUAGGUAUUUUCGUCCUUGCUAGUCACACAUUUCCUAGGUUAUGGGAUUGGAUAUCCGUUUUCUAAGAUUCUUAGCUGAUAAGUAUAUUGUGCGGAAAAGUCUCUACAGAAUGAUGUUGUGCACAUCCAAAUCCAAGCAAUCUGGAUACUCCAUGGGGCAAAGUUGAAGCUUUGUACAUCACUUCUCUCCCUUUGUUUAUUAACGUUUCUUCAUGUUUGGAAGUGAUAUGGGUUUCCAUGUACUUGAUAGAUGCAUUCCUUAUCUUUAUGUGUUUCAUCUAUGUAUAUAUGUUUCUGCCCAUAAAUGUAUUUAUGAGCUGACUCCAUUUUUUACCGCUUUUCUGUGGCAAUUUGAAAAGGACCCUUCCAUGGUGCUCAGCCACCGUCCGAUUUCGAGGGAGAAUAGGAGACACCGACGAAAGCGAGUGUCCUAGCGGCGAACCCAAGGAUGCGUGGUGAUUAUGCCAGCUCCAUGCUCCAGUUCUUCUAUUGGGGGUUCGCUCAAUUCAUGUGCUUGGGAUUUGUUUUGAUUGACGGACCUUAAAGCUAAUGCAAUAAUGCAUGAACUUGCCAAAAGGUACACAUUGACUUGGUUACUACAUCUAAAUCAGUAAAAGAGCUUCUGAUUAACCUAUGAGAGGUUGCUAAGUACCUAAGAAAUGACAUUGUAUGGUUUAUUGGCCUAAUAGGUUCUAUUUGAGCCUAAAACUAAUAAGCAUGCCCAAGGAUGCAUCUUUUUUAUCAGUUAUGAUAAGAGUGUAAAUAGCAUUGAUACUUUGUAUAGAACGAUUAACAAAACACUAAGUUGAUGAUCAGUAUUUUGGCCUUACUUAUUGUUUAUCUUGGUCUCCACUGUUUAUCUUGAUUUACAAUGCUGAAGGUGGCUAAAAUGCACACUAAUUGGCGUUAUGUUCUGAAAUUAUGGUUCCGCCACAUUAAAGAUUGAUCUAUAAUAAUUGUAUAUGAAAAUAAAGUCCUCUGCUAUGCAAAUAACACUUGGUUUAAAUCGGGAACUCAUGCCAAGGAUUGAGUCAUAGCUUUUGUAUGCAUCCCUAUCACUAUCACUCAUGCUUUUGUUUUAGGUACAGAUUUGUAGAUGGUAGGCAUUCUUAUGCGUAUCCGCUUCCCUCUUCUUCCUUACAUAACAUGCAAGGUUAUCAUUAGUCUAGGUUAAAGCAAUUUUUGUGAUCAGGCAGAGCAUCAACAUUUGAGAUGCAAAUAUAGACGUCCGAGAAAACCCAUGCAUAUAAUUUGAUGGCAAAGAAACCAGAGAACACAUGAAUGAUGUUAUCUUGAUGUUGGUGCCUUAAACUACUACACCUAGCAUAUUUCAAAUGCAAUACCUGCCAAUCUGGAGCUACCAAAAAAGUCCUAUGUAGUUAUACACAUCAUGGCUUCAACAAUUUUACUUGAAAAUGCACUAACCAUUAAUUAAUAAUGACAAGAUGGAUGCUCUUAUCUUAGAAUAUGCUCUAAAACCUGAAAAAUAUGAUAAUGAACCUGUCUCAUCCUUACCACCAGGACACUCUGUUUAUCAGGGUCGUUUUAGUUUUCAAGUGUCAUCAGUGAUACAUGGAUGGAUGGUGUCGUCACUGCUCCACUGCCCCAUGUUUUGGUUGUUUUGGUCCACGCUUGAGGCAAGGUUAGAUUUGUUCUGAUUGCUAGCCAGUUUGUGGGGUUUUCCUUUGGAGCUCAUCAUAAAAAUUGUGGUUUUAAUACAGUGUGUACCGCAAUAUCCUGCUGGUUUGUUUCAUGCUUGAUUGAGUGCUCAUGUGCCAUUGGUUCAUAUCCAUGUUUGUAAGGCUUUAUUGCUCCAUUAAAAUGACUUUCUUCAGUUAAAUGUGGUUCUAAUCCGGUUUGUACAGAAAUAUCGUUAUUGAGUACCAUGAUCCCGUCGUUUAGGUGCACUUAAAAUUCUGAAUUGUGCUCGCUGAGUGCCUUCUUUUUUACUACCUUUCAUUGGUGUAGAUGCAAGCUAUAGAGGUUUGUUGAACAAUCUGGUUAUAGCUUUAUUCUCUUAUUUUCUUGCUCAUUGCCACGUUGUUUUAGUUACCAGCAGGCCAUGUGAAAAUAAGCAAGCUUCUUAUUGGGAUAUAUUUUUGUAACACUGUGUUCUGUACAACAAAAGCUUUUUCCUGCUAUGUAAAUAACAUUUUGUGUCCAAAAUCAUACUGAACUCAUUGUUUGUUACCUAUAUUACUGGUUUGGAUGCUUUAAGAAGGUGAUUAUAACAUGUUUGCAUUCAUAUCUCUGGCCAUCUGCGAUGAAUUUUUUUGUUAAUUGCUCAUGACUUAUUUCAGAAAACCAAAUAUGCACCAUGUCGAUAUGCUUCAUGACGAAACCACUUGCUUUCAUAUGUAUUGGACUACUGCAUCAUCGUCUUCGUCAAUGGGAGGAUGAAAUCAGUAGUAGCACCAGCCCGCUAGCGAGGAAGGCUGCUCGGAUCUGCUGUCGUGCCCACCUACAACUUCUGUAGGUUGUUCGACCACUUAGAGAACUUCUGGUGGCCAUAAGCAAUCUUAGUUGCUCACUGUGAUAAUCUGAAUGUAUGCAGUUUCCCUCUUUGCAUGUGUGCUUCCGUGUCUUUCCUGGUAUAUUCUCAGUCUAUGGAAUGGUCAUAUUAGGCAUGUAGUUUAUUUUAUUUUUUGUAUAAAAGCUUGGUACUAACAUACAAAUAUGAUUAUUUUUUCAAUUUCUCAAUGUGGUGACCAUAUUUUCAACUAUGAAAAUGCUUCCUUAACUGGUCUAUACAUAUUAUACAAAUAUGUUUUUUUUUUCAAACUUAGAUUCCUUACCGUGAUAAACAUGUUAUUUUUAAUAUAGCAUGAUUUAACACAUGUGCUUUAUACUACCAAUAUUGACAUGUUCUUGCAAAAUGAGACUAUUUUCAUCGACAACAUGGC
RNAcentral lists this ribosomal RNA (3460 nucleotides) under Triticum aestivum (bread wheat). RNAcentral's name for it is "partial small subunit ribosomal RNA". The record is from RNAcentral. Lineage: Eukaryota; Viridiplantae; Streptophyta; Magnoliopsida; Poales; Poaceae.